This 85-nucleotide transfer RNA is filed under the name Lactobacillus sp. RNAcentral's name for it is "tRNA-Leu". It matches the Rfam family "tRNA". Rfam says of the family: Transfer RNA (tRNA) molecules are approximately 80 nucleotides in length. Their secondary structure includes four short double-helical elements and three loops (D, anti-codon, and T loops). Further hydrogen bonds mediate the characteristic L-shaped molecular structure. tRNAs have two regions of fundamental functional importance: the anti-codon, which is responsible for specific mRNA codon recognition, and the 3' end, to which the tRNAs corresponding amino acid is attached (by aminoacyl-tRNA synthetases). tRNAs cope with the degeneracy of the genetic code in two manners: having more than one tRNA (with a specific anti-codon) for a particular amino acid; and 'wobble' base-pairing, i.e. permitting non-standard base-pairing at the 3rd anti-codon position. Lineage: Bacteria; Bacillati; Bacillota; Bacilli; Lactobacillales; Lactobacillaceae. The record is from RNAcentral.
GCGGAUGUGGCGGAACUGGCAGACGCGCUAGAUUUAGGUUCUAGUGUCUUUUGACAUGGAGGUUCGAGUCCUCUCAUCCGCAUCA